AGAUCAUGAUGUGGACAUCUCCUCAAGAUGUCCUUCAGCCUCUCCAUGUCUCAAAAAAUGACUUGGUAUUUAUUUGAAUGAAUAAAGAGAUUUCUUAUCUAAGCUU
Molecule: small nucleolar RNA, 106 nt
Organism: Dioscorea cayenensis subsp. rotundata (Guinea yam)
Lineage: Eukaryota; Viridiplantae; Streptophyta; Magnoliopsida; Dioscoreales; Dioscoreaceae
Source: RefSeq, a predicted model, not a curated record